This is a long non-coding RNA of Gallus gallus (chicken), 1988 nucleotides long. RefSeq lists it as uncharacterized. Lineage: Eukaryota; Metazoa; Chordata; Aves; Galliformes; Phasianidae. The record is from RefSeq and is a predicted model, not a curated record. The transcript has 2 exons.
CUACCCCGGGGGGAAGACUGCCUGCACACCUUCCCUUGCAGUGGAAAUGAGAGCAACCCAAUCCAUCCAAAUGGGACAGGAGAGCUGCUUUGUGACUCACGCUGUGCAGUCUGAAGUGCCGCUUCUUGUUCAGCGCUGCAAGAACAGACGCACAGUGCACGUGUGCCAGCCAUCACACAGAGCCAGGAGUACAACGCUGGCUAAAGCACGCCAGGGAAACACUGCUGCAGGGUAUCUGCGCUCCUACGCCAUCAGCAGACAAUGAACGCCCACAUCAGCAGAACAAAGUGAACACAGCAAACCAAAGCUGAGUCCUCUUCCCUUUAAAACAACUUGGUUAUUUCUGCAGCUCCUGACUCCUAGAAACAAGCCCCUGAAUGUUAAACAUGGAUACCUAGGCAACAGCAGCUGACAAAGAUGCUCAAUGGAAUCCAAGCCUUGCCUUCCCCUGAUCUUUUUUUUAAUGCAUUGGCUUAAGUUACGCUGACUGAGUCCUACAUUCAGAGUGUUCUCUUAUAGAAUACCAAAGGCGUCACCCCGCAUGGACUGCUUAUGAGGGAACUGCUGAGCAACAGGCCUCUGAGACAUGCUUUGGAAGAGCAUCCAUCAAUCCCUGUGCUGCCGAAUUAAACUCCCAGAUGCUCUUAAGAGACUUCCAGAUGCUUCCAGUCAUCUAACUUAGAAACGAUGCAGACAAGGUUACACCUUCCCAGACCUAAAGACGACUAUUCUUUUCCUGUUCUACUCUACCCGUGUUCUAUUCUACUCUUAUUCUCUUAUUCAUUUCUUUUGGCAAAUGAAACCAAUUUAUUCCUUCCUAUGUGAGUCUAUUUUCCUCAUGGGGAACAGAAGGUAGAGUAACCAAGAGGCAACAGGAAAACAGCCCAUGCCUAUAAAUUAGUUUCCAGUGGCUCCUCUGUUCCCCACAGGCCAUAAGCUGACUGUGGGUUAGGAAGAAAUACAGCAAACUGAGAAAUUAAGCAUGGAUAAAACAGAGUUAUCCUCGUGAGCCAAUAAUAUGUCACCAUACAUUAAAAUCCCGAGAAUAUGAAUUCGGACUGGGACUGUGGACGCAAAGUUCAGAGUAUCUGGCAAAUAGUUUACAACGUAAAGUGAUCACCUUUAUUGAAGAACGCCACCGUGCAGACAGGGGAAUUAGGGCAAAUAAACCUCACUGAUUUAUAGGUUACCACAGCAGGCAGCUUGGAAGGAGGAGGCUGGGUUUUAUCCACUUCCCAGAUACUGGGAUAUUUCACUCCGUGAUAAGAAUUACAGGAUAUUUUUGACACACUGAUAGCACUUCCAUUUUAAGAGAGCCCACCCUGGUGUAAUUAACUAGACAGUUAGCAAGGGCUGCUCGCAGCACCACAGGGGAACUAUAGAAAACACCUGUCCUUGGGCUCCGUGGGCUUUUGAAACCAAAACAAGCCACAGACACGAUGCUCCGUACAUUACUUUUAAAAAUCUUUUUAAUGAAGAAAUAAUUCCAUUCCAAAAUAUAGACACACAAUUAAAUAGUUUAAUCACUUCAAAAUAUAACAUGUCCCCAGUAGGUUCCAACACACACACACAAAACAAUACUUAACAGCAAUACAAAAAACCCAUACAAUAGCAGUUCUGUUACAAUACCAAUGAAUAUUGUGACAUCUUUAGUGUCUCCGUAUCUGUCUCAAGUGGUGUCAAGUACAGUAGUUUUAAAAACGUCUUGCAGUUAGUAGCCUCAAGAUGUAACUCAUCGUACAUUUGUUUUUGGUUCAAAGGUAAAAAUGCCCUUUGCCUUCAGGACACAGUGGAGUGCUCGUUGUUCACAGCUCCGUCUGCUGAAUUGAACCAAUGUGAUUACAGCAACCCGAGGUUGCAAUAUUUACAAAGUCUAUCUACAGUAAUUGCCAAGAACCAAUAAAGAUGGGAGAAGAUGACUGAAAGUAAAGGCAGACACACAUGAUAAAUCAUGAUGCAACGAUUUGGCUCAUGCAUAUAAGAAAAUA